RNAcentral lists this ribosomal RNA (1259 nucleotides) under metagenome. RNAcentral describes it as "SSU rRNA". It matches the Rfam family "Eukaryotic small subunit ribosomal RNA", at positions 158 to 1294 of the family's 1831-position model. The record is from RNAcentral.
AUAGAGCUAAUACAUGCAAAUACUCUUGACCGCAAGGAAAAGAGGCACUUAUUAGAUUACAAACCAAUCCAUGUAAAAGUGGCAACUGGUGAUUCAUAGUAAGGUUGGAAAUCGUAUGGGGGCAACUCUGACGAUAUAUCAUUCAAAUUUCUGCCCUAUCAACUUUGGAUGGUAGUAUAGAGGACUACCAUGGUGAUAACGGGUAACGGAGAAUUAGGGUUCGAUUCCGGAGAGGGAGCCUGAGAAAUGGCUACCACUUCUAAGGAGGGCAGCAGGCGCGCAAAUUACCCAAUCCUAAUACGGGGAGGUAGUGACAAUAAAUAACAAUGCUGGUACUUAAAGUAUUAGUAAUUGGAAUGAGAACAAUUUAAACCCCUUAUCGAGUACCAUCAGAGGGCAAGUCUGGUGCCAGCAGCCGCGGUAAUUCCAGCUCUGAUAGCGUAUAUUAAAGUUGUUGCAGUUAAAAAGCUCGUAGUUGGAUUUUAGGAUUUCGUUGCGAUGGUCGGCUAUGAUAAAUAGUCUUGUACUGUUGUGACAAUCUUUUCCUACUGGUUACUCGACUCUGUACUUUAUUGGAUGGAGUAGUGUCGCAAGGCAUCGUUUGGUGCUAUAUUGCUUCUGAGUGUAGUAAUUGGGUCAAACUGGUUAUGAAAUUCAGGGGAUCACAGUAUGGUAUUAAAUGGGGUUCCAGUUCGUUUACUUUGAGUAAAUUAGAGUGUUCAAAGCAGCCUUUUGGGGCAUUGAAUAGAUUAGCAUGGGAUAAUAGAAUAGGACUCUUGUCUAUUUAUUGGUUUAUAGAUUUAGAGGAAUGAUUAAUAGGGAUAGUUGGGGGCACUUGUAUUCAAUAGUCAGAGGUGAAAUUCUAGGAUUUAUUGAAGACAAACUUCAGCGAAAGCAUUUGCCAAGGAUGUUUUCAUUAAUCAAGAACGAAAGUUAGGGGAUCGAAGACGAUUAGACACCGUCGUAGUCUUAACCAUAAACUAUGCCGACCAGGGAUACGAGGGUAUAUUAUAAUUUAUAUUGUGAAAAACAAUAUUAUCCUUUGUGCACCUUGUGAGAAAUCAUAAGUUUUUGGGUUCUGGGGGGAGUAUGGUCGCAAGGCUGAAACUUAAAGGAAUUGACGGAGGGGCACCACCAGGAGUGGAGCCUGCGGCUUAAUUUGACCCAACACGGGAAAACUUACCAGGUCCAGACAUUUGAAGGAUUGACAGGUUGAUAGCCCUUUCAUGAUUAAAUGGGUGGUGGUGCAUGGCCGUUCG